Molecule: long non-coding RNA, 121 nt
Organism: Etheostoma spectabile (orangethroat darter)
Lineage: Eukaryota; Metazoa; Chordata; Actinopteri; Perciformes; Percidae
Exons: 3
Source: RefSeq, a predicted model, not a curated record
AGAAAUGUGUAUAGGUGCCUUUUAGACCAAAAAAAGCCAGAAAAUGUAUUUUUGGCUCAUGUCAAUGAAAGACAACUCCCAGAAUGCUCUUGCUUCGCUUCCCUAUGAGAGGAAUGUAGAA